This is a long non-coding RNA of Bos taurus (domestic cattle), 444 nucleotides long. NCBI's taxonomy places the organism in Eukaryota, Metazoa, Chordata, Mammalia, Artiodactyla, Bovidae. The record is from Ensembl.
AGCUCAGCUGGUAAAGAAUCCGCCUGCAGUGCAGGAGACCCCAGUUGGAUUCUUGGGUCGGAAAGAUCCACAGAAGAAGGGAUAGGCUACCCACUCCUGUAUUCUUGGGCUUCCCUUGUGACUCAGCUGGCCAACCACAGAGAGACACUGGGGGGACCUCAGGUCUGAUGAAUCCCCUGGAAAAGCUGGAGCCAUCCCAGAAGACCUGACAGAGUUCCCAACAGCUGGGGCAACGAGUCCUUCAGAAGGAGGAUCUGGUGCUGCAGUGCCCUGACCCCACGAUUUGACUCAUGGCUCUCACCUCCCCCACCUGCUCCAAGCACAGUCCCUGGAGAGAAGGAAACAUAGAGACUGAGCCAACCCUGUAUCCUUUGCUUCCCUUCUCCCACCCUCAACAACCUCCAAGUGCCGCCUACAGACCCCAGGGCUAGCUGAGUUCAGAGG